GACGAACGCUGACGGUGUGCUUUAGACAUGCAAGUCGAACGAGAAAGCCCUUCGGGUUAGUAAGUGGCGAACGGGUGAGUAACACGUGGGCAAUCUGCCCCUCGCAGGGGGACGAACCGGAGGAAACUCCGGCUAAUACCCCGUAAGUUCAAAGGGAGGCAUCUCUCUUCGAAGAAAGGUAGCUUCGGCCAUCCGGCGAGGGAUGAGCCCGCGGUGCAUUAGCUAGUUGGUGGGGUAACGGCCUACCAAGGCGACGAUGCAUAGCUGGUCUGAGAGGAUGAUCAGCCACACUGGGACUGAGACACGGCCCAGACUCCUACGGGAGGCAGCAGUCGGGAAUCUUGCGCAAUGGGCGAAAGCCUGACGCAGCAACACCGUGUGUGUG
Molecule: ribosomal RNA, 385 nt
Filed under: uncultured bacterium
Lineage: Bacteria
Description: bacterial SSU rRNA
Rfam family: Bacterial small subunit ribosomal RNA
Source: RNAcentral